AGUGUUCAUUGCGCAGCGUCGCAAGUCGCAACCCUCGCCAUAAAUUGAAAUUCAUCUUCUUCUCCGCAGGGACGCCGAAACAAUCCGACGCUGAACGCCGAGAGGCAUUUUAAAAGGUUACAAUGGAUGCCACAAUGAAGGAGUUCCAAGAAAAGUUAAUUGAGGUUGAAAUUGAAGGCGAGAACAUUUUAUUAGCACGGCAGCAGUUAGUUGAAAAUGAUAGGGAAAGGAAUGGAAACAGGGAAGCAUUGACAGCAUUAAGGAAGAGAGCAAAGACAACAAAAUCCAGCGUUCCUUCACCUUUUGAGUCGAUAAUGAGGGAGAUUGAGACGAAACUGUUGGUGAGAGAGGUUUGUUCAACUUGUGGCAAACAUGACGUGAAGGAGACAACUUGGCUUAUGUUUCCUGGCACUGAUAUUUUUGCUAGUGUUCCAUUUCAUGCUGUCCAUACCAUUCUUGAGCAAGAUCAAACUCGACUGGAUUAUGAAGCUAAGAAACUUCAAAGCUAUGUAAAGGAGAAGUCGUUUAUCAUAUCUGAGAAAGGAGUUCUUGCUGACAGGAUCAGCCCUGGUGUUCUUAGAUCUAUGGUCACCUUGUCUGAUACACCAAAGAAAGCUGAGCCAACGGAAUGACUCCUUCCUGCAUUCAAACAACCGGUUCCCCUGCUUCACUCUCCAUUAUUCAUAAUUUUAGACCGAAGUGAAUCUAUAGCGAUAGAAGUGUGCCCGUGCUUAUAUAGAGAUCUUCACCCACAGCUUACCACCGAGGCCAUUAGGCUGCGUUGUGGUGUAUGCUGAUCUUUACCCACAGCUUACAUCUAUAAACAUUUAGUGUAUAUAGAUGUUGUCACUGAAACAAGGGGAGAAAACAACAUAAGAAGUUUGUUGCAUUGAAGAGCAGGUGAGUGUAUCUAGAAAUCUGUCCUAAUUUAAUAUUUGUUUGGUAAUUAAACACCAAAUGUUUUCUUCCUGUGUUGUUUUAGUAGCUUCAUAGGUGACUCUACUCCAUUGAGGUGUAUUAAAUCCUCAUCUAGGCUUGGUGUUGAACCUUCUAAGGAAGUGGUGGUCAGUUCUAUUGAGGAGAUUUACAGCAAAAAACAUGUAAGAUUAGGUUUUAUCCCUAAUAUGAAAUUUGUGUUUCGGUUUAGUUAUCCAAAUUGUAAAAUUAGGUAACUAUAUAGGGCUGCUUUAUAUUUGUAUUUAUGCCCUACUGUUUAUUUUAGGUGGGAAUGUUUUGAUGACUGUAGUGCUUGGAGUCUAAUCUUAAGGCUUAUUUAAUAGUAUGCUUAAUAGGGCUAGCUGGGUGG
Molecule: RNA transcript, 1306 nt
Organism: Ipomoea nil (Japanese morning glory)
Lineage: Eukaryota; Viridiplantae; Streptophyta; Magnoliopsida; Solanales; Convolvulaceae
Exons: 5
Source: RefSeq, a predicted model, not a curated record